UGAUGAAGGCCUUAGGGUUGUAAAGCACUUUAAGUUGGGAGGAAGGGCAGUCAGCGAAUACCUUGCUGUCUUGACGUUACCGACAGAAUAAGCACCGGCUAACUCUGUGCCAGCAGCCGCGGUAAUACAGAGGGUGCAAGCGUUAAUCGGAAUUACUGGGCGUAAAGCGCGCGUAGGUGGUUUGUUAAGUUGAAUGUGAAAUCCCCGGGCUCAACCUGGGAACUGCAUCCAAAACUGGCAAGCUAGAGUAGGGCAGAGGGUGGUGGAAUUUCCUGUGUAGCGGUGAAAUGCGUAGAUAUAGGAAGGAACACCAUGUGGCGAAGGCGACCACCUGGGCUCAUACUGACACUGAGGUGCGAAAGCGUGGGGAGCAAACAGGAUUAGAUACCCU
Molecule: ribosomal RNA, 391 nt
Filed under: Pseudomonas sp. Acyc4
Lineage: Bacteria; Pseudomonadati; Pseudomonadota; Gammaproteobacteria; Pseudomonadales; Pseudomonadaceae
Description: bacterial SSU rRNA
Rfam family: Bacterial small subunit ribosomal RNA
Source: RNAcentral